UACGUAGGGUGCGAGCGUUGUCCGGAAUUAUUGGGCGUAAAGAGCUUGUAGGCGGUUUGUCGCGUCUGCCGUGAAAAUUCGAGGCUCAACCUCGAACUUGCGGUGGGUACGGGCAGACUAGAGUGUGGUAGGGGAGACUGGAAUUCCUGGUGUAGCGGUGAAAUGCGUAGAUAUUGGGAGGAACACCAGUGGCGAAGGCGGCUCACUGGACCGGUACUGACGCUGAUGCGCGAAAGCGUGGGGAGCAAACGGG
This 253-nucleotide ribosomal RNA is filed under the name uncultured bacterium. Its description in RNAcentral is "partial 16S ribosomal RNA". It matches the Rfam family "Bacterial small subunit ribosomal RNA", at positions 524 to 776 of the family's 1533-position model. The record is from RNAcentral.